ACAGCAGCAGCCACGGUAAUACAGAGGGUGCGAGCGUUAAUCGGAUUUACUGGGCGUAAAGCGUGCGUAGGCGGCUUCUUAAGUCGGAUGUGAAAUCCCCGAGCUUAACUUGGGAAUUGCAUUCGAUACUGGUUAGCUAGAGUGUGGGAGAGGAUGGUAGAAUUCCAGGUGUAGCGGUGAAAUGCGUAGAGAUCUGGAGGAAUACCGAUGGCGAAGGCAGCCAUCUGGCCUAACACUGACGCUGAGGUACGAAAGCAUGGGGAGCAAACAGGAUUAGAUACCCCCGUAGUCCCUGUCUCUUAUAC
This 305-nucleotide ribosomal RNA is filed under the name uncultured bacterium. RNAcentral describes it as "partial 16S ribosomal RNA". It matches the Rfam family "Bacterial small subunit ribosomal RNA", at positions 506 to 807 of the family's 1533-position model. The record is from RNAcentral.